This 379-nucleotide ribosomal RNA is filed under the name uncultured eukaryote. RNAcentral's name for it is "partial 18S ribosomal RNA". It matches the Rfam family "Eukaryotic small subunit ribosomal RNA", at positions 592 to 976 of the family's 1831-position model. The record is from RNAcentral.
CAAUAGUGUAUAUUAAAGUUGCUGCAGUUAAAAAGCUCGUAGUUGGAUUUCAGGGUCACCUGGCCGGUCUGCCGAUAGGUAAGCACUGGUCGCGUGACUCUUCCUUCUGAAGGCGGCAUUUGUCAUUAAUUUGGCGAGUGUUCGAAUUCAGGACGUUUACUUUGAAUAAAUUAGAGUGUUUAAAGCAGGCCACUGCCUUGAAUACAUUAGCAUGGAAUAAUGGAAUAGGACUUUGGUUCUAUUUUGUUGGUUUCUGGGACCAAAGUAAUGAUUAAUAGGGAUAGUUGGGGGCGUUAGUAUUUCGUUGCUAGAGGUGAAAUUCUUAGAUUUAUGAAAGACUAACUACUGCGAAAGCAUUCGCCAAGGAUGUUUUCAUUAA